Chenopodium quinoa (quinoa) is the source of this 4325-nucleotide long non-coding RNA. RefSeq lists it as uncharacterized. The transcript is spliced from 3 exons. The record is from RefSeq and is a predicted model, not a curated record. Lineage: Eukaryota; Viridiplantae; Streptophyta; Magnoliopsida; Caryophyllales; Amaranthaceae.
ACUUAUUACUAAGUAAUAAUAAUAAUAAUAAUAAUAAUAAUAAACCCACAUACUCAUACGAUGAAAUUGUGGUAGAUGACUAGAGUCUUCCCCCCUAACAACAAUUACUAGAUUCUUCUUAUAAUAUUAUAAUUCAUUAGACUUAGUGGAAGCACACUAGCCUUAAGGUCUACAAGCCUAGCACUGUAUUGCAAUGAUGACUUCAAAAAAAACUUUUCCAUGAUUUAAUCUCCACCGCCCAUUCAAUUACAACUAGCCCCAUUCCCUCCCAAAAUUUCAUUUUCCCUCUCAACACCAUAGUUACAUAAACUAUCUCUCACAUUCUUCUCCAAUUAUUCAGAGAAGAUCAAGAUCAAGACCUUUAUCACGUCUAAUUACUAGAUAAUUAGUCAGAUUCUUGCUAAAUUGUUUCAUUUGAGUUUUUAAUUCACUUUGACAGUUUAUUAUACAAUCAGUAACAAAAUGCUUGUUGUUGCAACCUAAUUUAUUUCUGUAAUUUCACUACCAGGACCAAAACAAAUGAAGCCCAUCAAUCGUCCAACAAAAAACAUCGGAUUCGAUAAUGCACCAUUGUGGAAUCAUGUUACAGUGCUCACAACUACAGGAGGAGGUGGAAACAGAGUAUGGACAUGCAAGUAUUGUGGCAAGAAGGUAACUGGUUCUUACUCAAGACUUAAAGGACAUUUAUUAAAAAUUCCUAACCUAGGUGUUGAAGCUUGUAAAAUAAUUUCUGAUGAUGUUUACCGCCAAAUAAAGAAAGAAUAUGAUGAGGCAGAAGAACAAAAGGCAAAACAUGCACUUAAUGCAAAACAAUAAAGAGACUAUGUAUCACUUCCUGAAGGGUCUGACAUUAUACAACAUAAGAAAAGGAAAGGAAGUUUAGAAUACUCAUUUAAUGUCCUAGAGAGGGAGGAGGCAGAUAAAGAAUGUGCCAUGGCAUUUUACACAGGUGCUAUUCCUUUUAAUUUUGCAAGAAAUCCCUAUUUCAGAGCAUUUUGUCAAAGACUUGCUAAUGGUAAUUUAAGUGGAUAUGGACCUCCAACCCCUACAAGACUUAGUACUACUCUCUUAGCCCAACUAAAAGCACAUGUAGGAGAGUUAUUACAGCCUAUAAAAGAUUCAUGGAAGAAGAGGGGGGCUUCAAUUUGCUCUGAUGGCCAAUCAAGGCCAUUAAUCAACCUUAUGGUCGCUUCUGGUGCAGGGCCGAUGUUCAUGAAAGCUGUGGAUGCUAGUGAUGUUUUACAAAAAAGUGCAGACUAUAUUGCAGGUAUUUUUUUUUCAGAUCAUUGAAGAGAUUGGAGAUGAGAAGGUUGUGCAAAUUGUGACCGAUAAUGCUGCAAAUUACAAGGCAGCAGGUGGUAAGAUUGAAGAAAGAUUCCCUCAUAUAUUUUGGACUCCCUGUGCUGUUCAUUGUGUGAAUUUGGCCAUCAAAGCAAUCUGUGAGCCAAAUGAGAAAUCUUCUCACUAUGAAGAGUGCAAAUGGAUAAAAGACUUAGUUUCUCAGAAACCAGAUUUGCCUCUAACAUUGUGAUGGCCAUGCGACUUCGAAGGGUCAAAGAAGCACUUGAGAAGAUGGUUAUGGAUGUGGACUGGAAGAAUUUUAAAGUGACUGGAAAAUCUGCCACUGUAAUCCAAGCAAGGGAUAUCAAAGACUUGAUAGUCAGUGAUGGAUGGUGGGACAAAGUAGAUUAUUUCUUGAGUUUCACCGAGCCUUUGAUGAAGUUUUUAAGGGUAGCAGAUAUGGAUUCCAAUGUCCUACCGUAUGUUUAUGACAUGUGGGACACAACCAUACAAGAAGUGAAAAGAGUUAUAUUUGAGCAAGAGGAUAAAAACAUACUAACCGAUAGCUCAAACUUCUUCAAUGCAAUUCAUUAUGGAAUAAGAGCAACACUCCUUUGCAUUGUUUGGCUCACUCAUUAGUUCCUAAAUACUAUAGUGAGGGCUGGUUGCAAGCUUCAAGCAAUGGGGUACGUCGAGUAGCUCCUAAUGAAGAUGAAGAAGUGUCUAUAAAUAGAGAUUUGUGCUUUCGUAGAUUGUUUCCUAACCCGGAUGAUCUUAAAAAAGUGUACAAGGAGUAUGGAGCUUUUGCUUGUGGUUUGGAUUACUUUGGUCAAAUUCAUGUCAUGAAUGCAAGGAACGAAGAGGAGCCUCUGUCAUGGUGGGCCAAUUAUGGUGCUUCCACACCAUUACUCCAAGGGUUGGCUCUUAAAUUGCUUUCCCAACCAGCCUCAUCAUCAUGUUGCGAGAGGAAUUGGAGCACAUAUGGAACUAUUCAAACCACUAAGAGAAACAGAUUAACUUCUAGCAGACUUGAAGACUUGGUUUAUGUGCAUAUGAACCUCCGUUUGCUUGCUAGGAAGAAAAACGAGUAUCGUGAGGGGCCAAGCUCUUAUUGGGACAUAGGAGGAGAUGUCAUGGAUGUAGAUCACAUCUUGGAGCUGGUGGAAUUAUCUCUUAAUGAACCUGAGAUUGAAGCCAUGACGUUAGAGGUUUGAGUUGGAUGAAAGGAGGCUCAGGAUCCCUGGUGAUAUCUAAAUAAACUCCUUUAUUUUGGAUUGCUUUAGCACUGUUAGUGACUAAGUGUUAGUAUUUAGUAGCCUUUUUUGCUUUUGCAUGGCCAUGUUAGUUUGAUAGAUGUAUAGCUAAUGUACAUGGUAAAAUGCUUUUAUGUUGUGAGUUACAUAUCUAUUUAACUAUGUUCUGAUUGGUAUCAAUGUAAGAAAGUAGUUAGAAAUUAAGAAAUGUCAUCCAAUAUGUAAUAUGGGUGCAUAAAAAUCAGAAUAUGUAUUGAAAAUUAUGAAAACAGAAAAGUUGCAAACUGUAAAUUUUUUGAAUAUUAAUGAAAUAUUAAAUAUUUUGUAAUGUAUAAUUUUAUUGCAAAAAAUGAAAGUGCCGUGUCCCCGCACCCGUGUCCAAAUAUAGGACAGAGUCCCCGUGUCCUAAAAUUUUGGAAAUUGACGAAUCGGACACUCGGACACGUGUCCGUGUCCGACUCACGUACCCGAGUCCAUGUAACAUAGGGUGUAGUUAUAGUGAUGGAGGUUGCCGAAGACCAGGACAAUGAAGAACGCAAUUACCAGGGCAACGCGCAUGGGGGAGGCCUGCAAGCCUAUGGGUUGAGGGCGGUGUUUCAAGAAAAAAUCCGCCUAGGCCAAAUCUCACGGUUCAUGAUUGAGCAGUAUGGUGUAACCGGCCAAUACGUGGGGUAUGCUCCUGAAGAUGGGGACACUCCCACGACUCCACCUCCGGGGUUUACCGCUGUAUAUUGGGGUUUAAUGAAGCAGGGAAUGCGCUUUGCCCUUCAUCCUUUUGUCAGGACUUUGUUGCAGGAGUACAACUUAGCCAUUUGCAAUUUGACGCCUAACUCUUGGCUAAAAGUGUACUCUUUUUUGGUGGUUUGUACCAUGAUAGGGCAAACUCCCAACUUGAAGGCUUUGGAGAAACUUGUUCAAAUUGAUACCCUCCAAGGAUUUCGGUCCUGGCUGGUGGGCCUUUCGCAUCCGCAAUGGUUACAAAGUGGUGCACGACCAACAAUCAAACGUCAAACACUGGCGUGGCCUGUUUAUGUUUGUUUACUGUCGUACUUGGGACAUCCCAUUGAUCCCGAAUUUAGGGGAACCCAAUUUGAGUUUAAAUUUCGACGUUCCACCCAUGAACAGGAAGGAAGCUGUAGUUGCCCUUUUGUUGAAAACUAAGGGUCUCGUGGUCAAUGGCGACGCUGUUCAAUUACCCAUGAAUUGGAUACCCAACCGAGCCUUUCUAGAGGAUGAAAAGAAGCUUUGUACAAUUGGCCUUGACUUCCGCUCAAAGGGUAUGCUAGAGGGGGGUCUUCUGCACGCAUUAUAAUUAUAGGUAUCUUUGUGUUGCUGUUUUAACUUUUUCCUACUUCCGAGCAGGAUUCAUGGAUUCAGAAGCAUUGAAAACUCAGAAAGCCCUGCAAGCUGCCGCGGUGAGGAAGUUACUAAAGAACGGAACCAGGGAGAUACCUCCCCCACCCUUGGUAAGCUAUCUUUGUUGACUUUGAAUGCAUUUAAUGGUUUGAAUCUCACUGAUUUGUCAUUUUUGACCCAGGGGAAAGUUACCUCGGCCCCGGAUACCAGGGCAAAGCUCUAGUACGACUCCCGAAGAUUACCAAGCUCAGCCUUCAAGAAGGCAAUGAGUAAAAUUUUCAUUAGCGCCCAUCCAAGGGGCUCAUUAGCCCCAAAGGAAUUUCGAAUGAUAGCAUGCGCCCCAAGGAAGAUAGUAUGCGCAUGCUAUCUUCCUUGGCUUCAAAGUAAAAUUUUCAUUUCCAUUUUACCACUAAGCUACAAGUUUACCAUCAUCGC